GCUGACUCUUUUCAGACUCAGUCCGCCUACACCCAGGUGAAAUAAACAGCCAUGUUGCUCACACAAAGCCUGUUUGGUGGUCUUUUCACACGGACGCGCAUGAAAUUUGGUGCCGUGACUCCGAUUGGGGGAUCUCCCUUGGGAGAUCAAUCCCCUGUCCUCCUGUUCUUUGCUCUGUGAGAAAGAUCCACCUACCACCUCAGGUCCUCAGACCGACCAGCACAAGAAACAUCUCACCAAUUUCAAAUCCGGUAAGCAGACUCUUUUUACUCUCUUCUCCAACCUCCCUAUCCCUCAACCUCUUUCUCUUUUCAAUCUUGGCGCCACACUUCAAUCUCUCCCUUCUCUUAAUUUCAAUUCCUUUCAUUUUCUGGUAGAGACAAAGGAGACAAGUUUUAUCUGUGGACCCAAAACUCUGGCGCCGGUCACGGACUGGGAAGGCAGCCUUCCCUUGGUGUUUAAUCAUUGCAGGGACGCCUCUCUGAUUAUACAGUCACGUUUCAAGGGUGUCAGACCACGCAGGGACGCCUGCCUUGGUCCUUCACCCUUAGCAGCAAGUCCCGCUUUUCUGGGGAAGGGGCAAGUAUCCCAACCCCUUCUCUCCUUGUCUCUACCCCUUCUCUGCUUUUCCGGGGACGGGACAUGUACCCCAACCCCUUCUCUGUCUCUACUCCUUCUCUGCUAUCCUGGGGCAGGGGCAAGUACACCUCAACCCCUUCUCCUUCACCCUUAGCGGCAAGUCCCGCUUUCCUAGGGGGCAAGAACCCCCCAAUCGCUUAUUUCCACACCCCAACCUCUUAUCUCUGCACCCCAAUCCCUUAUUUCCACGCCCCAAUCUCUUAUCUCUGCACCCCAAUCCCUUAUUUCCGUGCCCCAACACUUUCUCUGCUUUUCUGGAGGGCAAGAAACCCCCACCCCUUCUCCGUGUCUCUACUCUUUUCUCUGGGCUUGCCUCCUUCACUAUGGGCAAGCUUCCACCUUCCAUUCCUCUUUCUUCUCCCUUAGCCUGUAUUCUUAAGAACUUAAAACCUCUUCAAUUCUCACCUGACCUAAAAUCUAAGCGUCUUAUUUUCUUCUGCAAUGCCGCUUGACCCCAAUACAAACUCAACAGUAGUUCCAAAUAGCCAGAAAACGGCACUUUCAAUUUUUCCAUCCUACAAGAUCUAAAUAAUUCUUGUCGUAAAAUGGGCAAAUGGUCUGAGGUGCCUGACGGCCAGGCAUUCUUUUACACAUCAGUCCCUUCCUAGUCUCUGUGCCCCGUGCAAUUCGUCCCAAAUCUUCCUUCUUUCCCUCCCACCUGUCCCCUCAGUACCAACCCCAAGCAUCGCUGAGUCUUUCUAAUCUUCCUUUUCUACAGACCCAUCUGACCUCUCCCCUCCUCGACAGGCCGAGCUAGGUCCCAAUUCUUCCUCAGCCUCCGCUCCUCCACCCUAUAAUCUUUUUUAUCGCCUCCCCUCCUCACACCUGCUUCGGCUUACAGUUUCAUUCCGUGACUAGCCCUCCCCCACCUGCCCAGCAAUUUAUUCUUAAAAAGGUGGCUGGAACUAAAGGCAUAGUCAAGGUUAAUGCUCCUUUUUCUUUAUCGCAAAUCAGAAAGCGUUUAGGCUCUUUUUCAUCAAAUAUAAAAAUCCAGCCCAGUUCAUGGCUCGUUUGGCAGCAACCCUGAGACGCUUUACAGCCCUAGACCCUAAAAGGUCAAAAGGCCGUCUUAUUCUCAAUAUACAUUUUAUUACCCAAUCUGCUCCCAACAUUAAAUAAAACUCCAAAAACUGGAAUCUGGCCCUCAAACCCCACAACAGGACUUAAUUAACCUCACCUUCAAGGUGUGCAAUAACAGAAAAAAGAUGCAAUUCCUUGCCUCCACUGUGAGACAAACCCCAGCCACAUCUCCAGCACACAAGAACUUCCAAACGCCUGAACUGUAGCAGCCAGGCGUUUCUCCAGAACCUCCUCCCCCAGGAACUUGCUACACAUGCCAGAAAUCUGGCCACUGGGCCAAGGAACGCCCGCAGCCCGGGAUUCCUCCUAAGCCGCGUCCCAUCUGUGUGGGACCCCACUGAAAAUCGGACUGUUCAACUCACCUGGCAGCCACUCCCAGAGCUCCUGGAACUCUGGCCCAAGGCUCUCUGACUGACUCCUUCUUGGCUUACCGGCUGAAGACUGACGCUGCCUGAUCACCUCAGAAGCCCCGUAGACCAUCACGGAUGCCGAGCUUUAGGUAACUCACAGUGGAGGCAUCACCUGAAAUACAAUUUAUCACCAGCCCUUCUCCAGCUCUACCUCUCCAAAUCUACCAGCAAUUCAAGAUUAAUUUCAAAUUCAACCCCCACCCAAGAAUUUGCAAUUCACAUAUGUUCCUGUCAUAUCUGAAUUAUCAUUAUGCCAAUUUCCCUCCUGUUUCACUAAAUUAAAUACUCAUAUCAAGGAUAUUUGCCUUAUCACUCCAACAGUUUAGGCAGGAGUGGCAUUUUGGUUUAUAGCAUCAGGCAGAAUGGUAAGAACAGUAUAGGUAGUGAGAAUUCUGGCUUUAGUCCUGGUAUCUCUCUAACAGGUUAUGUAAGCUCAGUGCUGUUCCUGUGGUACUUCUGAUUUUCCUCUUUCUGGGUACACAGUAGGAUUGUCCUCCCUAACUUGCUUGGAAUUAGACAGGUUCUGUAAUUUGCUUUGGCUGAUGAAAUGUGAGCCUUUCACUUUGAAUUGUAUAAUUUGCUUUUCCCUGACCUCUGCCAUGCUCCAGAAAGUGAAGCCUAUAGCAAUCUGCUUCUCUUUGUGAAGACAACCUGGAGCAGAGGCCCUGACCACUCAAGAAAGACAUUUAACAUAAACUAGAAAUGGAUCAUUUUUAUUAAACAAUGGCAAUUUUAGGAUUGUUUGAUACUACAGCAUAACCAAGCCUAUCCUGUGUAAUAUGCAGGGAAAUUCUAUUAACUGCAAAGUAGAGAGAAACUAGAUAGUUUGCUUUAAAUAUCUCAUCAAAUUUUUACAGGAAUCAAAAAUAUAAAGAUGCAUGUAUGUAAAGAUGUAAAUAAUAAAUGUAAUGAAAAUUCAGAAAAUCAUUAAUAAUAAAAUAUCAAAACCGUCUUAACUCAUAUUAUGUUUAUUAUUUAUUUCUACUUAUGAUAUUCAGUAUGAUGAUCUGAGCUUUGUUUUUUAAUACUGAGCUGUUUCUUUUUAUAUUUCUUGUACAUAACCUCUUUAAUUUAAUGACUAUUUAUGAAAUUGCUAACUAUUGGUAAGUAACAGUAUUUCAGAGAUUUGGUGGAUGUUUCAGAGAUUAUCUCUCAACACAAACAACUAUGUGAGAUCAAUUUAAACUACUCUGGAGCAAGGUAUGUAUGCAAAUAUUCAGAAAAAAUAAAUGUCUAUGUAGUAAACAUUCUGUGUAAGGAAAAGAGAGUGAUAUAAAACAUCUGGCCACACAUCAGGGACAUAACUCAACUCCCAGUGAGACCAAAUCUGUUAUAUAAAUAUAUGUUUUAUUACUCAUGCUUUUAAAACAACACACAACCUUAUGACCUGCAUUUGUCAGGAUUUCCAUUUAGUGGAAUGGUCACCAUGGUGACAAUGUGAACUGGCUGAUUUGUAUAUGCUUUCUCAUCUAGCGCUGAAUGACCAGAGUAGACCACUUGACAGCUGAUGUUUUCAGUUAUAACAACAUAUGUGCACCACAGAGUUCAUGGAAUUGUAUCUCAGCCAGUCUGAAUCAGUUGAUAUGGUAGCCAAAAUGACUGGUUGACCUCGCUAAGGACCCAGGUAUUUCAGGUAUCUUAUAAACCAGAGUGGACUGAUUUAACCAUAUGGUUAAAUGGCAUAAAAAAAAAAGUGGCAGUACACUGUCUAUGUCCAAGGGUCUUACAUGGUAAUUGGCAGCAAGACAGACAAUUGGGUAAGAUUUUGUAGACAAUGAAACAGGCAUCUACGUUAAAAACUAGAUAAAACUGGAUAAUCAUUAAUUUUUAUGUUUUUAUUCAGCUAUUUAAUCUGAUGUAGACACAAAAUAAAUUUUUCAUUUGUGGCAAUUUUGAAGUAGAAAAAUGAGUAUUGCCUUUCUUCUCUUCACCUAUAACUUGGCUUUAAAGUUUAUCUCAGUAAGAGAGUAGAGAUUUUUAUGCAUGAAAUUGGCAGGUAGAAAUCGAUCAAUAAAUAUUCGUUUAAUGAAUGAAAGAAAAACAUACUAGUAAGCAUUUUUAAUAGAAAAAAUUGACUAAAAUAUUAACUAAAAUGUUUUUAGUUGACAAUUCAUAAAGCAUAAUGGCAAGAACUUAAUUUUCAUGACAAUCUAGUGAGAAAGUUUAUCACUAUCUCAGUUUUAUAGAUAAAUAAAUAUGAGGUUUACCAAGAUUAUAGAAUUCAGUCAAAGACAGAGAAUGGGUAAGUGGCAGAUUAGAAUUUAGUCUGAAUUUUUUAAUCCUAAACCCCAUGCCACCUAAAAUUCAAUAUGAUGCCCAU
RNAcentral lists this long non-coding RNA (4449 nucleotides) under Homo sapiens (human). RNAcentral describes it as "non-protein coding lnc-KIF20B-9:5". Lineage: Eukaryota; Metazoa; Chordata; Mammalia; Primates; Hominidae. The record is from RNAcentral.